AGCAAACAGGAUUAGAUACCUGGUAGUCCACGCCGUAAACGAUGUCGACUUGGAGGUUGUUCCCUUGAGGAGUGGCUUCCGGAGCUAACGCGUUAAGUCGACCGCCUGGGGAGUACGGCCGCAAGGUUAAAACUCAAAUGAAUUGACGGGGGCCCGCACAAGCGGUGGAGCAUGUGGUUUAAUUCGAUGCAACGCGAAGAACCUUACCUACUCUUGACAUCCASRGAAUUUGCAGAGAUGCUUAGUGCCUUCGGGAACGUGAGACAGGUGCUGCAUGGCUGUCGUCAGCUCGUGUUGUGAAAUGUUGGGUUAAGUCCCGCAACGAGCGCAACCCUUAUCCUUUGUUGCCAGCGAUUCGGUCGGGAACUCAAAGGAGACUGCCGGUGAUAAACCGGAGGAAGGUGGGGAUGACGUCAAGUCAUCAUGGCCCUUACGAGUAGGGCUACACACGUGCUACAAUGGCGCAUACAAAGAGAAGCGACCUCGCGAGAGCAAGCGGACCUCAUAAAGUGCGUCGUAGUCCGGAUCGGAGUCUGCAACUCGACUCCGUGAAGUCGGAAUCGCUAGUAAUCGUGGAUCAGAAUGCCACGGUGAAUACGUUCCCGG
Molecule: ribosomal RNA, 606 nt
Filed under: Pantoea sp. N-65-2
Lineage: Bacteria; Pseudomonadati; Pseudomonadota; Gammaproteobacteria; Enterobacterales; Erwiniaceae
Description: bacterial SSU rRNA
Rfam family: Bacterial small subunit ribosomal RNA
Source: RNAcentral